RNAcentral lists this ribosomal RNA (218 nucleotides) under uncultured bacterium. Its description in RNAcentral is "partial 16S ribosomal RNA". It matches the Rfam family "Bacterial small subunit ribosomal RNA", at positions 328 to 539 of the family's 1533-position model. The record is from RNAcentral.
ACGCUCGACACCUACGGGAGGCAGCAGUGAGGAAUAUUGGUCAAUGGACGCAAGUCUGAACCAGCCAUGCCGCGUGCAGGAUGACGGCUCUAUGAGUUGUAAACUGCUUUUGUACGAGGGUAAACGCAGAUACGUGUAUCUGUCUGAAAGUAUCGUACGAAUAAGGAUCGGCUAACUCCGUGCCUGCAGCCGCGGUAAUCUGAGCGGGCUGGCAAGGC